CAGGCAAUCUUUGAAAGGAACUAAAAUUGAAAGCAUACAGAGAGGCAGAAAGAGCUGGCCCAAAAAGUGACACUCAGUGGUGGUCUUUUCUCCUUUCAGUUCUUUGUUCAUAUCAUUCACCCACUUUUUGAUGUUUUUUUUUGUGUUUUUUCUUGUAAAUUUGUUUAAGUUGCUUGUGGAUUCUGGAUAUUAGACCUUUGUCAGAUGAAUAGAUUGCAAAAAUUUUCUCCCAUUCUGUAGGUUGCCUGUUCACUCUGAUGAUAGUUUUCUUUCACCACGGCCAGCUAAUUUUUGUAUUUUUAGUAGAGACAGGGUUUCACCAUGUUGGUCAGGCUGGUGUCGAACUCCUCAACUCGCUAUCUGCCCACCUAGGCCU
RNAcentral lists this long non-coding RNA (376 nucleotides) under Homo sapiens (human). RNAcentral describes it as "non-protein coding lnc-ITGB8-6:3". The record is from RNAcentral. Lineage: Eukaryota; Metazoa; Chordata; Mammalia; Primates; Hominidae.